This is a long non-coding RNA of Brassica oleracea var. oleracea, 709 nucleotides long. RefSeq lists it as uncharacterized. Lineage: Eukaryota; Viridiplantae; Streptophyta; Magnoliopsida; Brassicales; Brassicaceae. The record is from RefSeq and is a predicted model, not a curated record. The transcript has 3 exons.
AGAUCGAAUUCAGACAUUGAAACCAAACUCCAAGAAGAGAAAGUUGCUUCGUUUUCUCAUACAGCUUCCAAUUCAAAGUGGCUCUGCUCUAGGAUCCAUGCAACAGACUGGCUGCUGCAGGAGCUCUAUUCAGCCCCAAGUGUUUUGUAGACGGCUUUUUCAAAUACUUCUGAGUUUAGAGCAGAGUGAUCUCUGACCAAAACAGUUUCUUAUACAUCUGGAAAACCAACCUGGUUGAGCCAAGGAAGAAGUAAGGCCAAAAAGAAAAUGAAAAGACAUGUGAGGGCAUAUCAAAACAUCAUCUUUGAUCUUUCAGAACCAGAAGUUGUCCCUCAAGAAUCCCACCAAGAGUCUCAUGCCUCCACUGGAACAACUUCUUUUUUGUAUGUUGUCCUUUCCUGAAGAAUUAUGGAAGAUUCAAGAGAGAGAGAGAGAGCAAGAGACGUGAGUGCAGGUAAAAAAGAAGAAGAUCAAGUUGCAUACGUUGAACUGCAUUAAAGUACUUAAAUGCUUCCACCGGUUCCUUUUGUGUUGUUUUUAUUUUGGAUGAAGAAUAGAGAGCUCCAUCAAUAGUUGUGUUGUAAGAAAAGAGAUUCGCUUAGAAAAGUGGGUUGAUGUGUAAAUUUUGGUUAACAAUUCUAUUUUAACACAAAUGUAAAAGAUGAACUAAAUAAAAUGUAUAAUAAAAAAAGAUAGUUUAACGAAGCAA